This is a long non-coding RNA of Mercenaria mercenaria, 3677 nucleotides long. RefSeq lists it as uncharacterized. The transcript has 2 exons. Lineage: Eukaryota; Metazoa; Mollusca; Bivalvia; Venerida; Veneridae. The record is from RefSeq and is a predicted model, not a curated record.
CUUAUAGUUAAAUCAGUUAUAAAUGUAUUUCAGGACGUCAAAUCCAUUCAUUGUUAGUGUAUAUCUGCAGUAAAGAGAGAGUAUCGAAUGGAGUAGCACACCCUGAUGAUCAGAAUGGGCCAUUUGAAAUAGUGGUCAGUGGAAGGGAUAAUGAACUAAAACAGAUCCACCCACAAGAACCAAAUGGAAAUGGUCAAAUAUCACCGUCUGGCAGCACUUCUGAUGCAGCAGAAGGAGAUCGUGAUGAUGAGCAAACUCUGCUUAAAAGACCUGAUGAAGGAAAUCUCAACUAGGAGAUUUAGUUUGAUAGUCCUUGGCUGGUGGAUGCACUAGCUUUUUUUUUCAUAGUUAUUGCUUCAACAGUGAAAUUCUCGAGCAUAUGAAGUACUAUAGUGUUGUUUGAAAUGAACAAAUUUUUACAAUAUUUCUUUGUCUUACUGUGCAGCUUUAUUGCAUAGAUCAGACGUGUGCUGCAAAUAGUUAAUUGUUAAAUUGUUAAGAGCGUAAUGUGUUAAAAAAAUGUUUGUGGGAAUGUUUGUUUCUAAAUGUGAAAACCUGCUUUAAGUUUAUGUUACGUGUUUUGUUAUUUUCCUUGAAGCAGAGUUUUAGAUUAAGGUUUUAUACUUCAUAGAACAAUGGUGUAUGAGUAUCAACAUGUAAUGUAUGUUAAAAUUGAGUGACUGAUAAGCCAGUAUUAGGCUGGGUAUUGAUCUGAUCUCAUUUUUAUAAAAAUUGUAGUUUAUCUCUUUAUUUUGUACCUGUCACUUUAAUAUAUAUUUGUACAAAGUAAAUAUUAUCACAACCAAAGAGAAAUGGUUGAAAGAAUGCUAGGAAAAAUGUCUCUAAACUAUCAUGUAUUUAAUUUCUUUGUAAUUGAUCACAAAACAAAUAGAUAAAUAGAGUUAGUCAUUAGACCGGUCUCACACCUAAGUGAUUUUCAAGAAUGACGUUGCUUGGUUACUUUACAAGAUAAGGGGACAUUACUCUUUGAUGUUAAAUCGGAGAUAUAUAUAUAUAUGUCCAGCAAUUAAACCUGAUAAAAGACAUUACAUCAGUUUAUUUUUUUAGGUUUGGAAAAAUCAAAAUGAAAGAAGAAAAUUACAAAUAAAAAAUUAGCACAGUUUCUAUCUUCUAUACAAUACACUGUUAUGACAAAACUGCAUGAAAAAAAUAUUUUUGAAAAAAGAAAUUAAAUGUCUGGCAUUAUAAUUUCUGUCCCAGUACUUACUGUUGACUGCAUUAUAUGUGUGGUUCAUUUUAUUGAUAAAAUACUCAUAGAUGUCUGGUGCAUGCUUGUAAACAGAUAUUAGGUGUAUUUUUAUUAUGUAUUGUGUAAAUAUUAUGUUAUUGUGUCAAUAGUAAAGCCAUCAAAGUGCAAUAUCUUUAAUAUUUUUAGUUAUGUUUUUACUGUAUUUUUAAGUGUAAUUUAUAUUCAGUAAUUUUAUUGUAAACUUAAGUAAUGUUACUACAGUAAAAAUAACAUAGAAUUGCUUUUGCACUUUGAUGUUAUUAGUAUUUGACAUGGAAUGUCAUUAGUGUAUCAACCAGAAUUGAUUUGCUAAAAGAAAAAAAACCUGUUUGUAUUUACAUAAACAGAACAGAACUUACAAUUAGGAUUUUUUAUUAGAAAACAUGAACAUGCUUUAAAGAAGGUCUAAAUUUAGUGGCUUUAGUUUAACACUUUCUUUGUUGAAUAUGGAGAAUUGAAUUUUGUAGAAGCAAUGUUAACAGGUGAUAUUUUUUGUCAUACAUUUUUUAUGCAAUUACCAUUGAUUAUACGCAGUAGCAUAGGCAAUAUAAUAUUUAUGAACUUUACUUGAAUGACUUCAUUUUUAAAUGUUUACUUAUAUUUUCAUCUUAUUAGGACUUUCUGAAAUAAACAGGUUUUUAAACUUACUUUAAAGGAUUAGAUUUUUAAAACAAAUUUUCAAUUUUAUUCAUGAUAUCUGUUUAGCAGCUGGUUAAGUAGUAAUUAUCUGAAGGGGGGCAAAAAACAAGGACUCAUGAUAAAGAAUUCUGAUGAAUUGUUUUAGAAAUACAAUUGGUACUUUUUGAAGGAUAUGCUAUAACUAAGCAUUUAUUUUUAGCUCACCUGUCAUGAAGUGACAAGGUGAGCUUUUGUAAUCGCCCAUCGUCCGUCAUCCAUCUGUCCACAAUGUCUUGUGACCACGAUAGAGACCUCAUUAUGCAAUUGAUUUUAAUCAAACUUGCACUCAACUUGUAUUGACGUAAUGUCUCGGUUCCUUUCUAAGACUGGCCAGAUCCCAUCAUGGGUUCCAGAGUUAUGGCCCAUUAAAGGGGCAAAAGUUGCUCUUUUGGCUUGUGAACACAAUAGAGACCACAUUUGCAAUCAACUUUAAUCAAACUUGCACACAACUUGUAUUGGCAUAAUAUCUCGGUUCCUUUCAAAAACUGGCCAGAUCCCAUCAAUGGUUCCAAAGGUUUGGCUCCUUAAAGGCCCAAAAUUUGCUAUUUUGGCUUUUGCAGUCAUAUAGAGACUUCAUUUAUGGUUUGAUUUGAUACAAACUUGCAAAAUAUCUUUAACAACAAUAAAUCUUGGAUUUCAUGAUGAAUCUGUCAGUUCCAGUCGAAGGUUCUGGAGUUACAGCCCCAGAUUGAUCCCUGAAAGAGCCAGUCUUUGUUAAUUUUUACCUGCACGAUAGAACAGACAUUUUACAUUCUAUUUUAUUCACACUUGUAUCCUUUUGAAAACUGGCUAGAUUCUAUCAUGGGUUCUAGAGUUACUGCCCCUGAAAGGGAUAAAAUUUUCUAUUUUGGCCCUUUCAGCCAUAAUAGAGGUUUCAUUUAUGUUUUGAUUUGAUACAAACUUGCGCAGAAUAUUUAUUUUGAUUAUUCCUAGGCCAAGUUCGAAACUGGGUCAUGUAGGGUCAAAAACUAGGUCACCCACACGAAUCAAAAGAAAAGCUUGUUAACACUGUAGAGGCCACAUUUAUGACCCUAUCUUCAUGAAACUUGGUAAGAAUGUUUAUCUUCAUGAUUCCUAGGCCAAGUACAAAACUUCAUGAAACAAGUUUCAUCUUGAUGAUUCCAAGGCCAAGUUUAACAGGUGAGUGAUAUAGGGUCAUCUUGACCCUCUUGUUUCAAAUUGUAUCUUCCAUUGAUUUCACCCUUUGUACCUUCUGUAGGAUAUGCAUAUAAGUAACAUAUCCAUUUUUAUAAGCAUAAAACAUAUCAUAAUAUGUGUGUUGUGUAUAUUUAGAAAUUUUCAUUGUUGAAGCAACAUAAAAACAUGCAGGCAUGUGUCAGUCUAGCCUGUGUUGUCUUAAGCUUACUGGAUAUGAAACAGAUUAAGCUACUGGUAGUUAAGGCUUAUAGGAAUCAAUGCAUAAAUAGUGUACAUGCAUAUGUAAUUUAGUUGUAUAAAUGCUAAAUAAACAAAAACAAAAAUGAAAUGUUUAAAAAAAAUACAAAAAUGAAAUAUUUAAAAAAAAAUACAAAAAAUGAAAUGGUAAAAAAAAUUUAAAAAAAAAUAAAUAAAAAAAGGAUGUUGUGAAAUGAAAUAAACAGAUAAUAUUAAAAGCAGAUAUGUUUCUUUGCACCAUUUAUCUUUAACAUGAAAUAUGAAAGUAAUGUACAAUAUGCAGGUUAUUAAUUGAACUUGAUUGUUCCAAAAACUUGAAUAUGAUGUAAGAUGUAAAGAGUAAAUGGCACAAGUC